AACGGCCAUACCAUGCUGAAUAUACCGGUUCUCGUUAGAUCACCGAAGUCAAGCAUCAUUGGGCACGGUCAGUACUUGGGUGGGUGACCACCUGGGAACACCGCGUGCCGUU
RNAcentral lists this ribosomal RNA (112 nucleotides) under Caerostris extrusa. The record is from RNAcentral. Lineage: Eukaryota; Metazoa; Arthropoda; Arachnida; Araneae; Araneidae.